CUGUUGUGUUUGCCUUUCCAUAAAAGAAAAAAAUGAAUUCUCCUCUCGACUGUUCACCAUGCUUCACUGCCAAAUGCAACUUUGUCGGUAAUUCUCCUUAUCUUCCAAGGAUAUUAAGUCUAGGCUCGAAACACCAUCCUCCAUUUUUUGCAUGUACUCAGAGUUCAUCUGCCUUGCCACUCUUCGUCCCAAGCCCACUCUUCAUAACGUGCGUCGUAUGUCAUCACCCCGGUGAUUUAUAUUUAAUAAGUGACAUUACCUUAUUUCCUUCCUUCCUCUAGCUAGCCAAAUCAUGCACCAUGUAAACAUAAUGAAAUUGGUAAAGGUAUUGUUUAAAGGAAUACAAUGGGGAAGGGAUGUAAGCCCCACAAUGGAAUUGUCUGAUGUCUGUUAUCAGAUUACAUAUAUAUUUUUUAGAAAGGCCUGGAUGUGUUUUUGGAAACACAGAAUAUUCAAGGAUUUAAUUAAAGGACCACUAUAGUGCCAGGAAAACAUACUAGUUUUCCUGGCACUAUAGUGCCCUGAGGGUGCCCCCACCCUCAGGGACCCCCUCCCGCCCGGCUCUGGAAGGGGGAAAGGAGUAAAAACUUACCUUUUUCCAGUGCUGGGCGGAGAGCUCUCCUCCUUCUCUCCUCCUCCUGGGCUGAAUGCGCACGCGCGGCAAGAACUGCGCGCGCAUUCAGCCCGUCGCAUAGGAAAGCAUUUACAAUGCUUUCCUAUGGACGCUUGCGUGCUCUCACUGUGAAAAUCACAGUGAGAAGCACGCAAGCGCCUCUAGUGGCUGUCAAUGAGACAGCCACUAGAGG
Pelobates cultripes (western spadefoot toad) is the source of this 806-nucleotide non-coding RNA. NCBI's taxonomy places the organism in Eukaryota, Metazoa, Chordata, Amphibia, Anura, Pelobatidae. The record is from the annotation of a GenBank genome assembly.